RNAcentral lists this ribosomal RNA (200 nucleotides) under uncultured bacterium. RNAcentral's name for it is "partial 16S ribosomal RNA". It matches the Rfam family "Bacterial small subunit ribosomal RNA", at positions 8 to 196 of the family's 1533-position model. The record is from RNAcentral.
AGAGUUUGAUCAUGGCUCAGGACGAACGCUGGCGGCGUGCCUCAAACAUGCAAGUCGAGCGUGGCUGCAUUCUCUCGCAAGAGAGGAUGUAGUCUAGCGGCGAACGGGUGAGUAACACGUGGGGAACUUGCCCUCCAGACGGGGACAACCUCGGGAAACCGGGGCUAAUACCGGAUACGUUCACCGGGUCGCAUGGCUUG